UAAAUAUAGACCCAUAGAGCCUCCAAAAAUCAUCCGAUUCGGGUUAAAUCAAUAUUUUGAUUUGACUAGAUUCAUUUAAGAAAAAUAUAUUUCUCCUCUCCGGCGCGACUUCUGGAAAUUGUCUCUUCUCUCCAAAGUCGUCUUUUCUCUGUCUUAUAAAGGUAUCUUUCUUUGUUUUUUUAUAAUUCCGUAGUUUAUUAUUUCUAGACUAAUAUGAUAGAAUAAUUAGAUUAUCAAUUAGUCUACGUAUUUAUACAUUAGACCUUAGCCCUAGCUAUUUUUCUUCCGUAAAAUAGUUUGGCCCUGAUUUUUCAAAUAGCCAUAACUUUUUACUCGUUCAUCCAAAUUAGAUGAAACCAACAGCCACUUCUUCGUUACGAUCUCCUCUGUCCAGUAAAACAACUUAAACAUGUUUUUGAAAGUAUUAAAAUUUGAAUUCAAACAGAUUGUAUUCAAACUUCUUUUGUUCAUAACUUGAGUUUUAUAACUCCAAUUUAGUUGAUUCUUUUUGCAAAUCGAAGCUCUUGACUUAAACUUUCUGAUAAGGCCAAAUUAACAUAAUUUUGGUACUGUUAGAAAUUGUUUUAUGUUGCAAGAGUUAUUUGUUGGUUUUGAUGUUUUCCGAACUGUUUUCUUCGUUCUUCCCGAUCUUUUGAGUGAUUGCUUAUGUGUGGUUACUAUUGCUUUCUCACGAUAGAUUGAAUGGAGUGUGAUGAGUAGAAAUAUCAAGAGUUAUGACUGUGAAUCAUCUUCAUCAACAGUACAAGGUAAGUUCACGCUUUGAUCAUAUCCCUUUCAUACCUAGUUUUUAUGCAUUAGUUUCAACCCCCAAACAUUGCAUGGUUAGGAUUUGAUAACAUGUGGGUAUCGGGAAGUAGUUGAUGAGGUACAAACCUAUUGCCCUGCAUUCAAACCCUGGGAGUUACUUUUAUGUUAUGCUCAUAUUGCUAUGCUAUGCUAUGCUCGUAGACGUGGAUUGGUUUGAGAGAAUUCAUGACAGAUGUGAGAGUUAUUACUUAAUUGUUAACUUAAGGUGGCUACUUUAAUACACAUCUGGGUGGAUUGGUUAGGGCACCCUGGAGCACCCAGUGUUUGCCCAAGGGGAUCCCGGAGGACCCGUGUGAUCACCCUAUGGAAUGCCACUCAGGCUCAAAGGGAUCAUAAGAUUAUUCAUGCUAGAAACUUCCGUGUGCACCCACAAGCUAUUAUGGGCUCUAGCAUAGUUGAGUAAGUUGCGUGAAGCUCUUGAAGAGGUAGACUAGCAGAUGUAGUGGGUUGUAGGUGGUAUAGUCUAUCCGGAGUAGAGUGUUAAUGCUUCUGAAAGACUGUGUCUCGGUCAUCCGUUUCUCAAACACCAUGUAGUGCGAGAAAUCCAACAGAGGAGAUCGAGUCUUGUAGGGAAAAGUGCGCAAACCUCUACAGAGUGUACAAACUAAUCAUGGUUAGCCGUGUCCCCGAUUAUGGACAUCUUCACUAUCUGGUUCUUGGAUUAUCAUAUUGAUCUCAUCACUUUACUUAAUUACUUUGUCGGGUUGAUGAUUAUUAAUUUGGGAUUGAGUUGGAGGAACCUUCUCAAUGUUUUCAACAAACUUAGUAGUUAAAUAAAAUAUAUUCUUUUGCAGUAGGGAAAAAUUAGCUUUUCGCAAAAACAUUAUAACCAUAGAGCUUUUCCACCAGCCAAAUAUGCAUGUAGUGAUAGCCUUUAUUCAUCAUUAUCCUAUGGUGUGAAUUUGCCAGUACAUUCAAUGUACUGACCCUUUGUGGCUGCAACGUCUCAUGUUGCAGGAUUCUUACGAUGAGUAAGUGAUACGUUAGGGUUACGAUUUCCACACUCAACUUUGCCGUUGGUGUUGAUGGGAAUCCACAACCUUAUUACUUCUGCUAUUUGGAUUGAGGUAAUAGUAUUUACGUUAUUUUAUACAUGUGAUUUACCUCUGUUAUAAAUCCUCGAGUACUAUGUGUGUCAGCAUACCGAUCCAGGGAUGACACUUAAGCACAAAGACUAGACCGUCUGAUGUCUGGUCGCUACAAGAUGGUAUCAAAGCACAUGUUGACUGUAGGGCGUGACCCCUAGAAACUGGCAAGCCCAUAGGAAAUAUUUUCUCUACAACUUUCUUUUCAAAAGUAUCUUUUACCUCUCUUCUCUUCUGAGCUUAUUCAAAUAUUCCCUUUUAGUGAGACUAUACCCCUUUCCCUUUUUGACCACACGAAGAUUCGGUUGAUGAGACCACUUCAAGAAGUACAAGAUAUCGGACAACUAAGAACACUUCGGAAUGAAGAGGAUUUUACCGUGUAUUAUAAUAAUGGAAACUACAACGGUUUAAGACUCCGAAGACUAGGAGAAUUUGAAGGCCCUGUAGAAUUUUCCAGAUUUGUAUGACCUAGGAAGGCACCCCUUAUGGAACUUGGCAAACUAAGGAAGCUGUCGAUACCCGAGGUCAAGGUGUACCGGAGAAAGACCGGAAUAUGGAGCAUGAGAACUCAAAGUUUUGUCAAGAAAACCCUAAGGCAGGAGAUAUCAACUAUGGUAGAUAGCUCAUGGCAAUGACAAGGGCAGAAACACGGUUAUCCGUGAUGUCAUCGCCACUGUUACUAUCGUCACCGAGCUGAGCUAAGCAUGCAUUUCUUUGGAAGGAUUGGAUGGUAGAAGGCUGAUGGAGCACCUAUCAGUAAGAUGAAGUUUUAACCUUAGCUGGUGUAUCGCCAGAAUCUUGUGUAAUACAUCAAGAAUUUUAAGAUGGGGCUCCAGGAAGCUGUAUUAGACAAGGAAGCAUUUUGUGAAGAACUUAGGAACCCGAAGCUGAAAGUAGCCAAGCUGGAGGAGCUACAACCUCGAGAUACCGGAGAUUUGUCAGGAACUGAAGGACAGUAGGACCAUGGUUCAUGCCAAGGAUGUUGAAACCCAGAAGUUUGGAACGCAACCCCAGAAUAUUGAAGGACGUCAUGAGAGACUUCGCGUCGACAGAGAUGAUCUGGCAAAAGAACUUGAGAAGGAUAAGCACGACCGAAAGAAGCCAUCGGAGACAUGAACGAAUCUCGAAGAGUUUGACACUUUGAAGAUUCAUUGAUCUUUAGAAGACCAAGCCCCUGUUAUAUACCUACGUUAGAUGCGACGAUUCUGAGCUGUCAUUUGUUUGAUGUUUUUCCGAUAGCCACAAAUGAAAUCUGUCUUUUCAAAACUAUUGGUUGCAUUGUGUGUAUCCCUCUCUAUCUCUCUUAUCUCACCCCAAACCCACAUGGACCCAAUAGAGGAUGAAUGGAGAGGAGCUUGUAUUUUCUGGACCGAUGAGUCAGUUGGAGACAGACCGAUGGAUUCAGAACAUGGAGGAUCACAUGGAGAAUAACCCUAUAGUUGGAAAUGAUAUGACCCAGCAUGCUCUUCAGUGCUUUGAAAGAGGUGCUGCUACUUGGUGGAGGAUGUACCAAACCAUGAAUGGAUGGCAAGGAGUAACCACUUGGAAAGAAUUUAAGUUGACUCUGCAAAGAUCUCAUCUUGUGUCCCAGAAGUUGAAGCCUUAUGGAGAGGAUAUGAAGAAACCUUGUGCAUGGAAUAUUUGUUGAGAAAUAGGACACACCCAUAAAGAACACAAGGAUGAAUGCCCUAAAUGUGAAGGAAGUCACACAGCUGGAGAAUGCCCAACUAGGCAGAUCACUUGUUUCUUGUGUGAAAGGACUACCCACACCCUGCUCAGUGUCACAUUUACCCCAUGGUACAAUGAACCAUCCAGCAGAAGAAAGAAGCAAUGAAAGGAGCCCUUAUGGAAAUUUUAGAAGAACUCGUGAUGAAGGAAGAUGUCGGGGACACACCCAAAGAAGAACCAAUUAAACCCUGCACCAAGUCAUGCUAAUCAUGUGGAGAAGAAGGACACAUCUCCCAGAAAUGUUUGAAUGGGGAUCUUGUAGUAUUCCCGACAGAGGAAGUAGAGUAUGACCCACAGGAAUUAGAAGCCCUGAUUGGAACGGAAAAGUCCAGAAAGAGAACUAGAUUGGAUUCCAGGAAGGAUAUGAGUCAUAUCACCUGUUAUAGGUGCAAGGAGUCAGGGCACUACCUCAGCAAUUGACCAAAAAGGAAGCCAAGGACCCAAGGAGGCUAUAUAAUCACAAGGAAACCUCAGGAGUUGUCAGAAGUAAUAUGUUUUCGUUUUAAUGAAGCAGGGCACUUUGCCAGGGAUUGUCCCAAGGAGAAGGAGACUUGUGAUAGUUAGUUGUGUCUGUGAGAAGUAAUGUAGUAGUAGUAGAAUUAGUGGGAACAACUCUUUUGUAUCAAGGUGUUGAGUUGAGACAUGUAAUGGAAAAUCGAGAGAUUGCAAUAAUUGGAGAAUGAAUAAAGUUAGCAUCGUUGGUACUGAUAUGGAUUUUAUGAGUUGUUACUCUAUGAAGAAGAUUUUUGACCAUUUUCAAGGAUAUGAGAAAUAUGGUCUAUGGAUGAAUUUGUGCAUUUCAAGGGUGGUAGUACCCUGCGAGGACAAUUGACCCCUGGAAAAGAUAAGCAUAUUCCACUGAGUGGAUUUCAGACAAAAUAAGUACGAGUUUUAUCUCGAUAUGUGGGAUACCCCAAGAAUAUGAGGGGAUGAAGUAUUAUUGGAUAUAGAGGAGGUAAUGUUGGUAAUAAGGAGCAGUUGUAACUCCAUGAUGAGCCUGAGUAAUCACGUCUUAGUUUGGUGCCAAUAGAAGGAAGAGAGACAAUACAAUUGGAUGGAGUUUAAGUAUGCUAGGAAGCUGGAAGUUGGAUGUUGGAUUAAAGAUUAGUUGCCCCGAGGAUGAGUUCAAGGUUUACAAGUGAUGAGAUGGGCCAUCACCUACAGGCCCCAGGACCUGCCAAGAAGCAAGCACACUCUUGCUGAAGGAAAAACCCUAGAAGAAAUUACGACUUUUACCGGCAGACGAUCUUAUAGGAGUAACGCAAAAUCUGAGAGUUGUGAAGGAACGAUAGAUGUUUGUGUGGCUUGCAGAAUCAAUGGAUUUAUCCGAACCUAGUUCGUUGACAAGAGAAAUUAUACAAUGCUUGUGAGGAUGACCGAGUGUUAGAAUGCGAGAUUCGCUAAACCAUAUAGAGGGUAAUGAUUUGGGUGUGGGAUGGCUUGAUCACCAUACCGACUUACUCUUAUUAUUCGUCUUGCUAUAUGGGAUGGUAAAUCUGAGUGACUUACCUAUAGUAGAGAGACGAUGAUCAAAACCUUGUUUAAACCUUAGAAUGGUAUAGCAAUUUUUUCCCUUGUACAAGGCAGCUUUUGCCAACCGUAGGUUAUACGGUGAGGUUCAGCCUAGACCCAUUUCCAACAGGAGAAAACGAUAAACUAUUGACCACCAUGAGAUAUCGAUAGUUGUUUAGUAUGGGCGCCAGGCCCAUUAGCUAAGAAGACCCAAUCUCGGAAGAACCUUACCAAGAUGAAAGACAAAAGAAUUGAGGAAAAGGUUAUGCCACUACCGAAAGAUCCCAGAUAAGGAAUUAUCCUAAAGAUCCGAGAAGACCGACACUGUUAACAAUAUGGAUGAAGUAUAUGAGUUUUGAUCAAACCGUAACCAUGCUUCUAAGGGUGGUAGCACCCCAGACCCCCUCCCGCGACAAUUGAUGGAUUUUGAGGAGACCCCCAAACCCUAACCUUUUUCUUGCUAGCCUUUCUGAAUCUCGAGGACAAGAAUCAUUUUAAGGGUGGUAGGUUUGUAACAUCCCAAAAUUCUAAAUUUUGGAAUGUUAUAAUAAAUAGAUAGAUUGAUUGUUUGUUUGAUUGUUGUGUGACUGAUUGAGUGAAAUUCGAAACUUUUUGAAAGUUAAAUGAGAGGGAAUAAAAGGACUUUCCCAAACUUUCACCUUUUUGCAUUUUGAUCUCCGUGAAUUCAAAUUCUUUUCAAAUACAAAACCCUCGAGAGAAGAUGAUAUGACUUCUUCCAUUUAAUUAAAUGAAAGGGUUUUUUGAAAAGAUUUGAAUUUUAUUUGGAAAUAUUUCAAAAUUCAGAAACUUUAAGCAACUCAAUGAUUUUCAUGAGAGAAGAUAAAAUGACUUCUUCAAAAUAUAGGAAAUAGGAGUUGGAAGUUUAAAAGGAUCAAAUUUAAAGUCCGUUUGAAAUUAUUUUCAAUUUGGAGUUAUUUGGUUUUAUUCAAAUUAUUUUUCUCCAAAAAUAAAAUAAAUGGAAAAUAGGGUAAAAUGAUUCCCUAAAUCAGAAAAUUGGAGAGAAAUAAUUUUGGUAUUUCAAAAAUGAUUUUUAUUGGGUUUCAUUAUAGAAGUAGCACUGUUUGAAUUAUUUGAAUUUUUGUGUAUUUUGUUUGGCACUAGAGAAAUGUUCAUGUUGUGGAAAAUCUUUUUCUGAAAGUUUUGAUAUAUAAUAUGCCUAUGUAAAAUUUUAUUUUAUUAUCGUUACCCAGUUUUCUUUUUUUGUUUCUAUAUAAAAAAAGAAAAAAAAUCUACGCGUGCGCCUGGAACUAACCGCCGCCCACAUGCGUAGCAAAGCAGCAGGCCGCCCCAUUUUUCUUUUGUUUUCUUUUGUCUUUUCUUUUAUUUUCUUUUCAUUCAUGUAUAGUUUUUUUGAAACAAAUUUCAGAAAAAAAUAGACUUUGGAAAAAAAUGCAGCCGUAUACGACGCGUGCCGGCCGGGGCCUUUAGGCCCGUGCCAGGCGUUAGCCUUUUUCUUCUCUGUAUCGUAUAUUUUUGUCUACGUUUAGUUCCAUAUUGUCUAGCCUUCGACCCUUAAACCUUUUUUCCACCUAUAAAUAUAGACCCAUAGAGCCUCCAAAAAUCAUCCGAUUCGGGUUAAAUCAAUAUUUUGAUUGACUAGAUUCAUUUAAGAAAAAUAUAUUUCUCCUCUCCGGCGCGACUUCUGGAAAUUGUCUCUUCUCUCCAAAGUCAUCUUUUCUCUACUUUAUAAAGGUAUUUUUCUUUGUUUUUUAUACUUCCAUAGUUUAUUAUUUCUAGAUUAAUACGAUAGAAUAAUUAGAUUAUCAAUUAGUCUACGUAUUUAUACAUUAGACCUUAGCCGUAGCUAUUUUUCUUCCGUAAA
RNAcentral lists this long non-coding RNA (6996 nucleotides) under Triticum aestivum (bread wheat). RNAcentral's name for it is "long non-coding RNA (TAES_LNC009895)". Lineage: Eukaryota; Viridiplantae; Streptophyta; Magnoliopsida; Poales; Poaceae. The record is from RNAcentral.